Molecule: unclassified non-coding RNA, 632 nt
Filed under: Hevea brasiliensis (rubber tree)
Lineage: Eukaryota; Viridiplantae; Streptophyta; Magnoliopsida; Malpighiales; Euphorbiaceae
Source: RNAcentral
AAGUUCUUGUUCUUGCUUGCAAAGAAAAGGGUUAUAGCAAUGAAAAUCAAAGCUAAUAAAAGAUUCUCCGAUGUGGCUAUUUGUUCUCUUCUCAAAUAAAAGAAGAAAAAGAAGGAGACUGAGAAGAAAGUGAAGAAAGAAAGCGUAACCAUAGUGAGAACAGGUGUGAACCGGGCCGAACCGGUCCUUUUUGGAGUUGAACCAGACCGCUGCGGCUUUCUUCUAUCUUCUCUUUUUUUCCCUUCUAAUUCUUGCUGUUGCUGUUGUAGCUGCUUCUGCUCGGGUUUGAUAAGGUCCUCCUCGGCUACAGAAGUUAGGCUGUGAAAGGACGAUCGGACGGGGGGGNNNNNNNNNNNNUGGUUUCUUGUGAGCUUCGCUUGGCUUUUUUGGCCGUCCAUUUCUGGGUGUGGGUUCCAAGGAGAUCCAAUCUCCACCGUCUAAAAAUCCCCCUCCUUAAAUCUCCUAGUUGUCCGUCCUGUACCUCGAGAUUCUGAUAAUCGUUGGUGUAACUGUUCCCGCCGGCGACAUAUCUCAGGGGGCGCACGUUAAGCAGUGGCAAAGCGCGCACGCUAGCACACUCAAGAAAACACAGAAACUAGAAAGAAAGUUCCAUCUUUUUGGAAAGAUAAACG